CUUUCUGGAGCCAAGAGUCAAGAAACGUCCCCUUGGACCUGGCCCAGGGCACAUCUUCGGUUACCCUUGUCCUGAAGGCUGAGGACGAACCAUUCGUGGUGCAGCCCGUCAGGGAAAGCUGUCUCAUUGCUGCCUUAUAGGUGGCACCUUUGGAGUCCUCAGGUAUUCAAACGAGGGAUUUGUAUACGGAGAAGGCGGCGCAGGGAAAGAGGAUUUUCCAGUGGCAGCCGCUAGUUCAGAGGCCCUGUGCCCUGCACUGGCUGUUGUCAGGAAAGACUGAGUGGCAGUUCUAAUUACCGGUGUCUACACGUGUUCCUCAUAGGAAGAUACAAGCUGUCACGAUCCCUUGCCAAUCACAUGAGAGCUGACCUAGAGAGAACAUCAACUGAAGGUUUGUCCCCCCUGGAAAGUGAAGGGUCAAAAAGUCCCCCAAUAUUUCUGCACUCCACACUGGGAGGAAAAUGAACUGCCUGGGUGUCGGAUGGAUGUUGUCCCGGGUCACCCCAAAAUCCCAACCUGC
This is a long non-coding RNA of Nothoprocta perdicaria, 520 nucleotides long. RefSeq lists it as uncharacterized. Lineage: Eukaryota; Metazoa; Chordata; Aves; Tinamiformes; Tinamidae. The record is from RefSeq and is a predicted model, not a curated record. The transcript has 4 exons.